This 404-nucleotide unclassified non-coding RNA is filed under the name soil metagenome. RNAcentral's name for it is "partial contains 5.8S ribosomal RNA, internal transcribed spacer 2, and large subunit ribosomal RNA". The stretch from base 1 to 122 matches the Rfam family "5.8S ribosomal RNA", at positions 35 to 154 of the family's 154-position model. The record is from RNAcentral.
GAUGAAGAACGUAGUAAAAUGCGAUACUUGGUGUGAAUUGCAGAAUCCCGUGAACCAUCGAGUUUUUGAACGCAAGUUGCGCCCGAAGCCUUUUGGCCGAGGGCACGUCUGCCUGGGCAUCACGCAUCGCGUCGCCCCCCACAAAUUCUCCUCAGGGGAGCUUGUGUUUCGGGGGCGGAUACUGGUCUCCCGUGCUCAUGGCGCGGUUGGCCGAAAUAGGAGUCCCUUCGAUGGACGCACGAACUAGUGGUGGUCGUAAAAACCCUCGUCUUUUGUUUCGUGCCGUUAGUCGCGAGGGAAGCUCUUCAAACACCCCAGCGCGUCGUCUCUUGACGGCGCUUCGACCGCGACCCCAGGUCAGGCGGGACUACCCGCUGAGUUUAAGCAUAUCAAUAAGCGGAGGA